This 526-nucleotide ribosomal RNA is filed under the name uncultured bacterium. RNAcentral describes it as "partial 16S ribosomal RNA". It matches the Rfam family "Bacterial small subunit ribosomal RNA", at positions 355 to 891 of the family's 1533-position model. The record is from RNAcentral.
UGGGGAAUAUUGCACAAUGGGCGCAAGCCUGAUGCAGCAACGCCGCGUGAGGGACGACGGCCUUCGGGUUGUAAACCUCUUUUAGUAGGGAAGAAGCGAAAGUGACGGUACCUGCAGAAAAAGCACCGGCUAACUACGUGCCAGCAGCCGCGGUAAUACGUAGGGUGCGAGCGUUGUCCGGAAUUAUUGGGCGUAAAGAGCUCGUAGGCGGUCUGUCGCGUCUGCUGUGAAAACCCGAGGCUCAACCUCGGGCCUGCAGUGGGUACGGGCAGACUAGAGUGCGGUAGGGGAGAAUGGAAUUCCUGGUGUAGCGGUGGAAUGCGCAGAUAUCAGGAGGAACACCGAUGGCGAAGGCAGUUCUCUGGGCCGUAACUGACGCUGAGGAGCGAAAGCGUGGGGAGCGAACAGGAUUAGAUACCCUGGGUAGUCCACGCCGUAAACGUUGGGCGCUAGAUGUGGGGACCAUUCCACGGUUUCCGUGUCGCAGCUAACGCAUUAAGCGCCCGCCUGGGGAGUACGGCCGCAA